UAAUGGGAAAGUUAGGCAUAUAUAAAUUUAUCAGAUACAGAAAUGAAAAAAUCCUAGAAUGGCAAUUAUCAUCCCUCGGAGAGACUGUAUUAGAAAUAAAAAACCUUCUUCAGGGGUAAAGUCCUGAAGCAGUUCGUUCAGGAGAGCUUCUAUUUGAAAUAUAUGAUCUAUUUUUCAAGUUUACAUAAUGUAUUUCAUAUUAAAUUACAUACAAACUCAUAGAAUGACAAAUAUGUUUACUUGGUGUAUAAAUAUGAGAAUUUAUAGAUAACAACCUGUUCUUGGGGGCACACAUGAAUUUGUCAGCUCAUGAAAUGUAAAGCAAUGUCAAAAAAGCAUGUAUGGGUGAGAGUUUAUUGAAAUAAGAAAGGUUCUUCAUGGAUAAGCUUCUAGAGCAAUUCGUUCAGGAGAGUCUUUAUUUGAAGUAUAUAAACAUGAGAUUUUAUACAUAACACACCGUUCUUGGGGCUAAUUUCAGGCACACAUAAAUUUAUCAGAUCAUAAAUCACCGUUCACACCGUUC
Molecule: long non-coding RNA, 523 nt
Organism: Coccinella septempunctata (seven-spotted ladybird)
Lineage: Eukaryota; Metazoa; Arthropoda; Insecta; Coleoptera; Coccinellidae
Exons: 5
Source: RefSeq, a predicted model, not a curated record